UGGGGAAUUUUGGACAAUGGGGGAAACCCUGAUCCAGCCAUCCCGCGUGUGCGAUGAAGGCCUUCGGGUUGUAAAGCACUUUUGGCAGGAAAGAAACGUCGCGGGUUAAUACCCCGCGGAACUGACGGUACCUGCAGAAUAAGCACCGGCUAACUACGUGCCAGCAGCCGCGGUAAUACGUAGGGUGCAAGCGUUAAUCGGAAUUACUGGGCGUAAAGCGUGCGCAGGCGGUUCGGAAAGAAAGAUGUGAAAUCCCAGAGCUUAACUUUGGAACUGCAUUUUUAACUACCGGGCUAGAGUGUGUCAGAGGGAGGUGGAAUUCCGCGUGUAGCAGUGAAAUGCGUAGAUAUGCGGAGGAACACCGAUGGCGAAGGCAGCCUCCUGGGAUAACGCUGACGCUCAUGCACGAAAGCGUGGGGAGCAAACAGGAUUAGAUACCCUGGUAGUCCACGCCCUAAACGAUGUCAACUAGCUGUUGGGGUCUUCGGACCUUGGUAGCGCAGCUAACGCGUGAAGUUGACCGCCUGGGGAGUACGGUCGCAAGAUUAAAACUCAAAUGAAUUGAC
Molecule: ribosomal RNA, 566 nt
Filed under: uncultured bacterium
Lineage: Bacteria
Description: partial 16S ribosomal RNA
Rfam family: Bacterial small subunit ribosomal RNA
Source: RNAcentral